This 1478-nucleotide long non-coding RNA is filed under the name Gallus gallus (chicken). Its description in RNAcentral is "lncRNA (ENSGALG00010023395.1)". The record is from RNAcentral. Lineage: Eukaryota; Metazoa; Chordata; Aves; Galliformes; Phasianidae.
AAACAACAUAGCUACUGUAGAGGAAGGGAGGAUAUGUAAAGGAACGGAAUUGUCAAAUAGGAUGUGGGGUUUUUUUCUUCCUUUAUCUAGGCUGUUUCUUCUUUUCAAUUCAGGAUGCAAGAGAGCCAAGUCAGAGGUUCUGUUCUGAGCUUUUCCACUGACGUGCUUGGUGAGCCUGGGCUCCUGACAUUUGGCUCCAAGUGUCAGCUGCAGAGCAUAAUUUGAAGCCAGUGGGAGCAGCUGAGGAAUAAACUACCACCCAAUUCAUGGAAGGGCAUCAGAAUCUGACCUGCUCUGCUUGGCCAUUCAUUAUUUCUCCAAUAUCUGUCAAUGGAUAUUCUUGGAUGAUAUAUGGAUAUUUAGAAAUGUAUCGCCAAAUCAUGCUAAAUAACUUCUACUUGUGCUGUCAAAUUUCCUGGUGAUUCCAUUGAGAAUUCUUUUCAGGAUUUGUACUUUCUCUCCUGCUUCUCACUGAGGCAGGCUUUUUUGUGUGUGCGUGUGUAUGUAAUGGGUAAUAGUGUCAUCUUUAAUCUUCUCUUUCACGUAGUUUUUCUUUUGUCCUCUGCUGACUUCUUCCACACAGAGACAUGUUAGAAAACUGGGCCUCCUGAGAAACACGUCAUUGAAAGAAAUGUGUGCAAAUGAAACAUCCCCGUCUCAAAUCCCAGAUGGGAGAACUGAAGUGAGUCUGUCACUGAGCUUGAGCCAUCAUUCAAACCCAGAGUUCUGAGUGAGCUGGGAUACUUUCAGAUGGGAAACCCAUUUCCCACCAGCACUGACCGAAGCAUAUUACCCUCACUCAGAUAAAACUCUUCCAUUUUGCUGGAAAUAAGACUGCAUCUCCUGUGCUCACUGUCAUGCAUUUCAGGCUUGCUUUCGUACCAUGUGAAGUGGAUAGCAAUGCUGCUGAGGUCAAUGGGCAAGUUAUUAACGCUAAAAAGCAUUAAUAACAACAAAGCAACAUGCUGAAGAACUGGGAAGAAAAGCUGAGAAUCGGGAAAUAAAGAUAAUUCUCACACUUAAGACCUUCUGAGAUAGUUAUGUCUAUUGUGAAUAGUUCAGCAACCAACUGGCUCAGAGGUUAUUGCCUAAGCAUCUUUCCCUCGCUCUAAUCCCCUGCAAGGUUUUUUCUGAGCAGUGUUGUUAAUCUAAAAUGACUGCUAACUGACUCCUGUGUCAAACAUUAUUCAUUAUGCACUUUAAAUGCUUCCUGCAGAGGCCAAAAUAAAUUUUGCUUUUUUAAGAGCAGACCACAAGGAGUGCCUACGUAGGAUAUUUCUUAAAAGAUUAGACUAGAAAUGGCAGUUAAGAUGUUGGGGGGAAUAAACGGCGCUCAGAACAAAGCUUCACAGUUUAACCAGGGAUAAACUUCAGUUACCAAAACCUACUUUCAUAUACAUCUAUCUAUAACCUGUUCCUGCAGGAAGAGCUCACCCUUGCAGGGUGGGAGAAAUACCUUUAUAGAGGGAUGCUAUAAG